ACUGCAAAAGUAGUUAAUUGGUAGAUCACAUAUACACAAAAAAAUCCAGAGAGCAAGAUAGGCUUAUCUACAGUGAGGAAACACAUGUAAAAAUUAAGGUAGUUUGUAGUUUUCAUAUGAAACAUUAAAAAAAAAUCAAACAUAUGCUACAAUGGGUGCUACCGUUUACAGUCAGAUUGAAGGGGAGGAAACACUUAUUUAGAGACAGAUAUACCACAAGGUCCAGCAUCAGGGCAAUAAAU
Lutra lutra (Eurasian river otter) is the source of this 242-nucleotide long non-coding RNA. RefSeq lists it as uncharacterized. The record is from RefSeq and is a predicted model, not a curated record. The transcript is spliced from 3 exons. NCBI's taxonomy places the organism in Eukaryota, Metazoa, Chordata, Mammalia, Carnivora, Mustelidae.